RNAcentral lists this ribosomal RNA (492 nucleotides) under uncultured bacterium. RNAcentral describes it as "partial 16S ribosomal RNA". It matches the Rfam family "Bacterial small subunit ribosomal RNA", at positions 29 to 507 of the family's 1533-position model. The record is from RNAcentral.
AGUGAACGCUGGCGGUAUGCCUAACACAUGCAAGUCGAACGGCAGCACAGUAAGAGCUUGCUCUUACGGGUGGCGAGUGGCGGACGGGUGAGGAAUACAUCGGAAUCUACUUUUUCGUGGGUGAUAACGUAGGGAAACUUACGCUAAUACCGCAUACGACGUACGGGUGAAAGCAGGGGAUCUUCGGACCUUGCGCGAUUGAAUGAGCCGAUGUCGGAUUAGCUAGUUGGCGGGGUAAAGGCGCACCAAGGCGACGAUCCGUAGCUGGUGUGAGAGGAUGAUCAGCCACACUGGAACUGAGACACGGUCCAGACUCAUACGGGAGGCAGCAGUGGGGAAUAGUGGACAAUGGGCGCAAGCCUGAUCCAGCCAUACCGAGUGGGUGAAGAAGGCCUUCGGGUUGUAAAGCCCUUUUGUUGGGAAAGAAAAGCAGCAGGUUAAUACGCCGCUGUUCUGACGGUACCCAAAGAAUAAGCACCGGCUAACUUCGUG